Molecule: long non-coding RNA, 886 nt
Filed under: Rosa chinensis
Lineage: Eukaryota; Viridiplantae; Streptophyta; Magnoliopsida; Rosales; Rosaceae
Description: sRNA RchiOBHm_Chr7g0218531
Source: RNAcentral
CUCUUGCAGUUCGUCUUGGAGAGGGAAACCUGAAGCCUGGCUCUGCAUAAAUAGAGGGUUGCAUGUCCGUGAUGCUGCAACUACGAAUUGGGUUCAAUUCCCUAUUACAGCACUUGAGCGAUUAGUCAGUGUGCAGGAACGAAAAGUUGGUGCGACUCUUCUUCUGGUACAAGUGGAGGUAGGAACUUUGACAGCGUGAUUUCACCGUUGGGAUUUGAUGGACAAAGUUGUUGGAAAUACUCCAAGAGAACAUCAAGGGUGAGGUUUCCUCUCCAGACACCAAUUUUGAUGAUUUGUGGUUUGUCUCGCUUGGUCAAUUCCUUGUGUGGCUUGUUUGCAAGUGGUGCAAGGCCAUUUGUUGUGUUGCGGUGGAAAGGAAGGUAGGAGGUAGAGGACUUUUGGUGGCGACCGUUGUUGCUUCUACAAAACAACACUUGUGGAAGCAAAUGGGCAUUGGCCUUGUAUGAUGACACUAUUUUCUGCUGCAAAGCACUUGUUGGUACUCAACAAGGCUUAAAAAAAUCCCACCGGAUUGGUCAUACACCCGUUGAUACACAUGUAUCGUAAACAGUAUUGCGACUGCUCUGAGGACCUCCAUAGCUCCAUGGUGACAUAGGUAAAAGAGGUGCUGCACAGUAAAAGAAAGUAGCAUGGGUGGAUCAAAGAGGCCCCAACCUUUGUGUUGUUUGCUUGUUGGCUCCUUGCUUCGAUCAAAAUUGCUGAACUCUUCCUUUCUCCUCUGUAGUAAGGCUUUGCCUCUUUCUUGAUGUAUUUCAUGUGUCACUUUUGUUGUAGAGAGUGUGCCUUUUUAUAGGCAAAAAUGGAUCACCGUGUGAGCUGAAGAUGACAAUAUCUCUCAUUCAAAUUCAAAUUUAAAUAUAUGAUC